Molecule: ribosomal RNA, 810 nt
Filed under: Mycobacterium sp. 05FL-43-212A
Lineage: Bacteria; Bacillati; Actinomycetota; Actinomycetes; Mycobacteriales; Mycobacteriaceae
Description: bacterial SSU rRNA
Rfam family: Bacterial small subunit ribosomal RNA
Source: RNAcentral
UCUAAUACCGAAUAGGACUACGCACUGCAUGGUGUGUGGUGGAAAGCUUUUGCGGUGUGGGAUGGGCCCGCGGCCUAUCAGCUUGUUGGUGGGGUGAUGGCCUACCAAGGCGACGACGGGUAGCCGGCCUGAGAGGGUGUCCGGCCACACUGGGACUGAGAUACGGCCCAGACUCCUACGGGAGGCAGCAGUGGGGAAUAUUGCACAAUGGGCGCAAGCCUGAUGCAGCGACGCCGCGUGAGGGAUGACGGCCUUCGGGUUGUAAACCUCUUUCAGUACCGACGAAGCGCAAGUGACGGUAGGUACAGAAGAAGCACCGGCCAACUACGUGCCAGCAGCCGCGGUAAUACGUAGGGUGCGAGCGUUGUCCGGAAUUACUGGGCGUAAAGAGCUCGUAGGUGGUUUGUCGCGUUGUUCGUGAAAACUCACAGCUUAACUGUGGGCGUGCGGGCGAUACGGGCAGACUGGAGUACUGCAGGGGAGACUGGAAUUCCUGGUGUAGCGGUGGAAUGCGCAGAUAUCAGGAGGAACACCGGUGGCGAAGGCGGGUCUCUGGGCAGUAACUGACGCUGAGGAGCGAAAGCGUGGGGAGCGAACAGGAUUAGAUACCCUGGUAGUCCACGCCGUAAACGGUGGGUACUAGGUGUGGGUUUCCUUCCUUGGGAUCCGUGCCGUAGCUAACGCAUUAAGUACCCCGCCUGGGGAGUACGGCCGCAAGGCUAAAACUCAAAGGAAUUGACGGGGGCCCGCACAAGCGGCGGAGCAUGUGGAUUAAUUCGAUGCAACGCGAAGAACCUUAUCCUGGGUUUG